CAGACUAGCAAAGUCUUUGGCAGUAGUAGAGUAAAUGCUGCAACCAUUUUCUGUUCAACCGCAAUCAAAUGGAUUCUGCCCCUGAUGACAAGAGUGACUCAUGAUCAAUCGAUCAGUAUCUGUCUUCUGGGAUAUGGGUGCUCAAGCAGGCUGGAAAGAAAUUAAGUGAGAAGAAAUGAGAAUAAAAUCUUCAAAAACCUUCCAGAGAAGCAGGUGAGGAGAAUGAAAACAGUACAGACUUUUUGUUGCAGGCGAAACAUUACCUUAAUAUAAGGGUGGUGAACUCAAGCACUGAACUUCUCUAACAUUCACCUUAAGAAAAGCUG
Molecule: long non-coding RNA, 326 nt
Organism: Lemur catta (Ring-tailed lemur)
Lineage: Eukaryota; Metazoa; Chordata; Mammalia; Primates; Lemuridae
Exons: 4
Source: RefSeq, a predicted model, not a curated record